RNAcentral lists this unclassified non-coding RNA (345 nucleotides) under fungal sp. RNAcentral describes it as "partial internal transcribed spacer region". The stretch from base 1 to 46 matches the Rfam family "Eukaryotic small subunit ribosomal RNA", at positions 1786 to 1831 of the family's 1831-position model. The record is from RNAcentral. Lineage: Eukaryota; Fungi.
AAGUCGUAACAAGGUUUCCGUAGGUGAACCUGCGGAAGGAUCAUUAACACGUUCAAAAACGUACCAACAACAACCAUACACUAGCGAGCGCCUUAACAACGCGCUCUGCUGUGCAUUCGUACCUCUCUCCCUGCACGACACGCAAGCGCCUUCGCGCGCUGGCGUUGCUUGUGCAGGCAUUUUUUUUCUUCUCACAAAGAACAAACCCCGUUUCACCUGACAGUUUGUCUGUCGUUGACUAACGCUUUGUUCAGCUUCGCGUGACGGCCUCGUCCGUCGCGCUUAGCCGAGCUCAAGUAAUUCUAACUUAGAGUACAACUCUUAGCAAUGGAUAUCUUGGUUCCC